UCCAGUUGAUCGAUGCGUUUUACGAUACGCUCUCAAAGAGUCAAGUUGUUUGGGAUUGCAGCUUAAAAUGGGAGGUAAAUUUCUCCUAAGGCUAAAUAUUGGCGAGAGACCGAUAGCGAACAAGUACCGUGAGGGAAAGAUGAAAAGUACUUUGAAAAGAGAGUUAAAUAGCACGUGAAAUUGUUGAAAGGGAAACGAUUGAAGCCAGUCGUACCGGCGGAUAAUCAGCCUUUCGGGUGCGAUUCUGUGGGGCGUGAGGAGCUUAACCGCCUUCAUGUUUUGCAUAUUCGUGCACAUUUGGUGUACUUGUCCGUGUGGUGGGUUAACAUCAAUUUCGGUCGUCAUAAAAUGAUUGGAGGAAUGUAGCUUUGGUCUCGUAUCGAAGUGUUAUAGACUCUGGUAGAUGUGACGAUUGGGAUUGAGGAUUGCAACGGAUACCCCUUCGGGGCUACUCGUCUGAUCUCUGGAGGUUGCUCCGGUGCCGAAAGCGUGCUUACGGUCAUCGAAAGUGAUUUUCAAAAGGUUAGAACGGGUUAAAUU
This 540-nucleotide ribosomal RNA is filed under the name uncultured Glomeromycotina. RNAcentral describes it as "LSU rRNA". It matches the Rfam family "Eukaryotic large subunit ribosomal RNA", at positions 225 to 645 of the family's 3401-position model. The record is from RNAcentral. Lineage: Eukaryota; Fungi; Glomeromycota.